GAGUAGCCAUAUAGCCUAU
This 19-nucleotide small nuclear RNA is filed under the name Arabidopsis thaliana (thale cress). Its description in RNAcentral is "snRNA_17643". Lineage: Eukaryota; Viridiplantae; Streptophyta; Magnoliopsida; Brassicales; Brassicaceae. The record is from RNAcentral.